AAAGUUGAUUUAACAACCCACUUAAGGUGGACUUAAAUAGGCUUUGAGAGAAAUUUAUUUCCCUUUCCUAGAAGGAUCUAAUUUCUUAUUAAAGAGAGAAUCUACAUCAAAACAGGAAGCAGUCCUAAGUUUCCUAAAAGCAAGGAAAUCUCUACACCUACUGCCUUUUCCUGCGAGCAGCCCAACAGGUGUGGGGGCAUUUGUGGAGCCAAAAAUAAUGACAAGGCGACACGUGGAUUUUUGGGUAAAAGAGAACAAAAAUACCCUUGAGGCAUACCGAGAUUCCUACGCGCGAGCGGCGGACAAUCAUCCUCAACCAAGUAAAAAAUGCUCCAAAAAAGGUAACCAAUUCCAAUUUAUCUCAUCCAUCCUCAUUAUAGGUAAUUACUUCACAACCUAUAAGUUAUCCCAUAAAAUAGAGAUUAAUUGGCUAAUUAAUGAAUUAAUUCCUAAUUAAUUCAUUAAUCACCAAAUUUAUCACCCAAUUAACCACAAAAUACAUCCAAUUCAACCCUAAAGCUAGUCAAAACCGGUCACCAUCCUUUCUCUUUACCUUUUUCCAUUUUUCCUUCUAUAUUAUCCCAUUUAUACAAAUUAAUCAAUUUGGUAACCACCAAUUUAUUCCUUUAGGGUUAAUUAGCCAAUAAAUUGGCUAAUUAAACCAAAAUUUCAACCUAAAAAUCCCCAUUAAGGCCGGCCAUUUCUUCUCAAAAAAUGGACAAGCCUAACCCUAUAAAUAGGUUCCUAUUUUCACCAAAAACUAAUUCCAACACUUUGGCAAAAAUCCCAAAAUUCUCUAAACACUCAUUCUCUCUAAAUUCUAAUUUUGGCAUCGGAGGUUCUUCGGCCAAAGCCC
This 856-nucleotide long non-coding RNA is filed under the name Malus domestica (apple). Its description in RNAcentral is "long non-coding RNA (MDOM_LNC003150)". Lineage: Eukaryota; Viridiplantae; Streptophyta; Magnoliopsida; Rosales; Rosaceae. The record is from RNAcentral.